RNAcentral lists this microRNA precursor (97 nucleotides) under Pteropus alecto (black flying fox). RNAcentral describes it as "mir-544 microRNA precursor family". It matches the Rfam family "mir-544 microRNA precursor family". RNAcentral also lists the same sequence under 1 other name. The record is from Rfam by way of RNAcentral. Lineage: Eukaryota; Metazoa; Chordata; Mammalia; Chiroptera; Pteropodidae.
AUCACCUAGGGAUUUUGUUAAAAUGCAGAUUUUGAUUCAGUAAGUCUGAAGUGGAACCUGAGUUUCUGCAUUCUAACAAUCUUCCAGGUGAUGGUAA